This 450-nucleotide ribosomal RNA is filed under the name uncultured bacterium. RNAcentral describes it as "partial 16S ribosomal RNA". It matches the Rfam family "Bacterial small subunit ribosomal RNA", at positions 338 to 795 of the family's 1533-position model. The record is from RNAcentral.
CCUACGGGUGGCUGCAGUGAGGAAUAUUGGUCAAUGGGCGCAAGCCUGAACCAGCCAUCCCGCGUGAAGGAAGAAGGCGCUAUGCGUCGUAAACUUCUUUUCUAGAGGAAGAAAAACUCCGACGUGUCGGGGCUUGACAGUACUCUGGGAAUAAGCAUCGGCUAACUCCGUGCCAGCAGCCGCGGUAAUACGGAGGAUGCAGGCGUUAUCCGGAUUUAUUGGGUUUAAAGGGUGCUAAUAAGUCAUAGGAGAAAUCCUGCAGCUUAACUGUAGAAUUGCCAUUGAUACUGUUGCUCUUGAGUAUGGUCAAGGUAGGCGGAAUGUGUAAUGUAGCGGUGAAAUGCUUAGAUAUUACACAGAACACCGAUUGCGAAGGCAGCUUGCUGGGCCAUUACUGACGCUGAUGCACGAAAGCGUGGGGAUCGAACAGGAUUAGAUACCCGUGUAGUC